AUUGAACGCUGGCGGCAGGCCUAACACAUGCAAGUCGAGCGGUUGAAGGCAGCUUGCUCCUGGAUUCAGCGGCGGACGGGUGAGUAAUGCCUAGGAAUCUGCCUGGUAGCGGGGGAUAACGUCCGGUAAUGGGCGCUAAUACCGCAUACGCCCUGAGGGAGAAAGUGGGGGAUCUUCGGACCUCACGCUAUCAGAUGAUCCUAGGUCGGAUUAGCUAGCUGGUGGGGUAUAGGCCUACCAAGGCGACGAUCCGCAACUGGUCUGAUGGGAUGGUCAGUCACACUGGAACUGAGACACGGUCGCGACUCCUGGGGGAGGCAGCGGUGGGGAAUAUUGGGGGAGGGGGGAGAGCCUGAUACAGGAAUGCCGCGGGUGUGAAGAAGGUCUUCGGAUUGGAGAGCACUUUAGGUUGGGGGGAAGGGCAGUAAGUUAAUACCUUGCUGUUUUGACGUUACCGGCAGAAUAAGCACCGGCUAACUUCGUG
RNAcentral lists this ribosomal RNA (484 nucleotides) under uncultured bacterium. Its description in RNAcentral is "partial 16S ribosomal RNA". It matches the Rfam family "Bacterial small subunit ribosomal RNA", at positions 30 to 507 of the family's 1533-position model. The record is from RNAcentral.